AUUGGUACUUUUCUCUCUUUCUCUCGUUUUUCUCUUCGAGUACGAGUGCUCUCUCAACUCAGUGUCUUUGUUCGAGCCUGUCGUGAAUGAGAUCGGGAUACUCGAGUUAGAAGCGCGUUUAUUACGUUGUGUAGACGAUAAAAGCUGAAACGUAUCUAUCUAUCUAUCUAUCUAUCUAUCUAUCUGAUGGUGAUCAUCGAGAGAAACCAGAAAUAACCGAGCAAUCGAAUCCUUUCUCUUUUUCUUUCCUUUUUUUUUUUUUUCUGUCCCCUCCGAUAUUUCUCGUUUUCUUCUACUUCUACUUCUUCUUCUUCAUCUUCAUCGUCAGCAUCAGCGUCAGCGUCGUCGUCUUUGAUUUUGUGAUCCCGAACUCAGCAGGAAGGCUUACGCAAUCCGAAAAUGGCUUUUUCCAAGUGUCAUCUUUAUUUCUUAUGGUAUUAUCUGGUGAUCGCUAUAUUGACCUGUACCACGGAGGAAAGUGCGAUUCGUACGAAACGUUUUCUGUUUCAUCAAGUCGAAGAAACUAUCGAAAAGAUGAAGAAUACUAUAUCGACGAAUAUAAAUCAAAUUUUUAAUAAUCGACGUAUCGACGAUAAUAAUGCAAAUAUAAAGGAAUUAAGUACAACAACUGCCCUACCAAAU
Polistes canadensis is the source of this 642-nucleotide long non-coding RNA. RefSeq lists it as uncharacterized. The record is from RefSeq and is a predicted model, not a curated record. Lineage: Eukaryota; Metazoa; Arthropoda; Insecta; Hymenoptera; Vespidae. The transcript has 2 exons.